RNAcentral lists this non-coding RNA (46 nucleotides) under Schistosoma margrebowiei. Lineage: Eukaryota; Metazoa; Platyhelminthes; Trematoda; Strigeidida; Schistosomatidae. The record is from RNAcentral.
AUCCAGCUGACGAGUCCUAAAAUAAGAAAAAAUGCGCGUCCUGGAU